UGCAGAAUCCCGUGAACCAUCAAGUCUUUGAACGCAAGUUGCGCCCGAGGCCAAUCGGCCAAGGGCACGUCUGCCUGGGCGUCAAGCGUUGCGUCACUUCGUGUCAUCACCACCCACCAUUGGGUGUGUUGGUGCAUGCUCGAAUGUGGAGAGUGGUUCUCCGUGUCCUUGGAUGCGGCGGACUGAAGAACGGGUUGUUGUCCUCCUGGCCACGAUAGACAAGGGGUGGACGGAUGCCACGAGCACGGCCAAACAGUGUCUCAUGUUGGCCUGAGGAAGAUUAUACAUCCCAAGUGAACCCAAAUCCAUAUGCCGUACCGCAAGGGUCGGCUUGGAAUGCGACCCCAGGAUGGGCGGGGCUACCCGCUGAGUUUAAGCAUAUCAAUAAGCGGAGGAGAAGAAACUUAAGAGGAUUCCCCUAGUAACGGCGAGCGAACCGGGAUCAGCCCAGCAUGGGAAUCGAGCUGCCGUGUAGUAGCUCGA
Molecule: ribosomal RNA, 483 nt
Filed under: Neottia nidus-avis
Lineage: Eukaryota; Viridiplantae; Streptophyta; Magnoliopsida; Asparagales; Orchidaceae
Description: eukaryotic LSU rRNA
Rfam family: Eukaryotic large subunit ribosomal RNA (bases 340-483)
Source: RNAcentral